CCUGUGUAAAGGGUGGAAAUAUAGAAGAUAUGGACUACAAUUGCUCAUGAAUGUUCAGUAGAAAGGCGCACACGUUUUUCACGGUGUUUGCUGGUGAAAAGAAGAUUAAAAUACUGGCUGAACAUCA
Long non-coding RNA from Haplochromis burtoni (Burton's mouthbrooder), 127 nucleotides. RefSeq lists it as uncharacterized. The transcript has 2 exons. Lineage: Eukaryota; Metazoa; Chordata; Actinopteri; Cichliformes; Cichlidae. The record is from RefSeq and is a predicted model, not a curated record.